CGGUUAAGUUAGAAAGGGCGCACGGUGGAUGCCUUGGCACUAGGAGCCGAUGAAGGACGGGACGAACACCGAUAUGCUUCGGGGAGCUGUAAGCAAGCUUUGAUCCGGAGAUUUCCGAAUGGGGAAACCCACCACUCGUAAUGGAGUGGUAUCCAUAUCUGAAUACAUAGGAUAUGAGAAGGCAGACCCGGGGAACUGAAACAUCUAAGUACCCGGAGGAAGAGAAAGCAAAUGCGAUUCCCUGAGUAGCGGCGAGCGAAACGGGACCAGCCCAAACCAAGAGGCUUGCCUCUUGGGGUUGUAGGACACUCUGUACGGAGUUACAAAGGAACGAGGUAGAUGAAGAGGUCUGGAAAGGCCCGCCAUAGGAGGUAACAGCCCUGUAGUCAAAACUUCGUUCUCUCCUGAGUGGAUCCUGAGUACGGCGGAACACGUGAAAUUCCGUCGGAAUCCGGGAGGACCAUCUCCCAAGGCUAAAUACUCCCUAGUGACCGAUAGUGAACCAGUACCGUGAGGGAAAGGUGAAAAGCACCCCGGAAGGGGAGUGAAAGAGAUCCUGAAACCGUGUGCCUACAAGUAGUCAGAGCCCGUUAACGGGUGAUGGCGUGCCUUUUGUAGAAUGAACCGGCGAGUUACGAUCCCGUGCAAGGUUAAGCAGAAGAUGCGGAGCCGCAGCGAAAGCGAGUCUGAAUAGGGCGAAUUGAGUACGUGGUCGUAGACCCGAAACCAGGUGAUCUACCCAUGUCCAGGGUGAAGUUCAGGUAACACUGAAUGGAGGCCCGAACCCACGCACGUUGAAAAGUGCGGGGAUGAGGUGUGGGUAGGGGUGAAAUGCCAAUCGAACCUGGAGAUAGCUGGUUCUCUCCGAAAUAGCUCUAGGGCUAGCCUCAAGGUAAGAGUCUCGGAGGUAGAGCACUGAUUGGACUAGGGGCCCCUACCGGGUUACCGAAUUCAGUCAAACUCCGAAUGCCGAUGACUUAUCCUUGGGAGUCAGACUGCGAGUGAUAAGAUCCGUAGUCGAAAGGGAACCAGCCCAGACCGCCAGCUAAGGUCCCAAAGUAUACGUUAAGUGGAAAAGGAUGUGGAGUUGCUUAGACAACCAGGAUGUUGGCUUAGAAGCAGCCACCAUUUAAAGAGUGCGUAAUAGCUCACUGGUCGAGUGACUCUGCGCCGAAAAUGUACCGGGGCUAAACGUAUCACCGAAGCUGCGGACUGUUCUUCGAACAGUGGUAGGAGAGCGUUCUAAGGGCUGUGAAGCAAGACCGGAAGGACUUGUGGAGCGCUUAGAAGUGAGAAUGCCGGUAUGAGUAGCGAAAGAGGGGUGAGAAUCCCCUCCACCGAAUGCCUAAGGUUUCCUGAGGAAGGCUCGUCCGCUCAGGGUUAGUCGGGACCUAAGCCGAGGCCGAAAGGCGUAGGCGAUGGAUAACAGGUUGAUAUUCCUGUACCACCUCCUCACCAUUUGAGCAAUGGGGGGACGCAGGAGGAUAGGGUAAGCGCGGUAUUGGAUAUCCGCGUCCAAGCAGUUAGGCUGGGAAAUAGGCAAAUCCGUUUCCCGUGAAGGCUGAGCUGUGAUGGCGAGCGAAUUAUAGUAGCGAAGUUCCUGAUUCCACACUGCCAAGAAAAGCCUCUAGCGAGGUGAGAGGUGCCCGUACCGCAAACCGACACAGGUAGGCGAGGAGAGAAUCCUAAGGUGAUCGAGAGAACUCUCGUUAAGGAACUCGGCAAAAUGACCCCGUAACUUCGGGAGAAGGGGUGCUCUGUUAGGGUGCAAGCCCGAGAGAGCCGCAGUGAAUAGGCCCAGGCGACUGUUUAGCAAAAACACAGGUCUCUGCGAAGCCGUAAGGCGAAGUAUAGGGGCUGACGCCUGCCCGGUGCUGGAAGGUUAAGAGGAGCGCUUAGCGUAAGCGAAGGUGCGAAUUGAAGCCCCAGUAAACGGCGGCCGUAACUAUAACGGUCCUAAGGUAGCGAAAUUCCUUGUCGGGUAAGUUCCGACCCGCACGAAAGGCGCAACGAUCUGGGCACUGUCUCAACGAGAGACUCGGUGAAAUUAUAGUACCUGUGAAGAUGCAGGUUACCCGCGACAGGACGGAAAGACCCCGUGGAGCUUUACUGCAGCCUGAUAUUGAAUGUUGGUACAGCUUGUACAGGAUAGGUAGGAGCCUUGGAAACCGGAGCGCCAGCUUCGGUGGAGGCAUCGGUGGGAUACUACCCUGGCUGUAUUGACCUUCUAACCCGCCGCCCUUAUCGGGCGGGGAGACAGUGUCAGGUGGGCAGUUUGACUGGGGCGGUCGCCUCCUAAAAGGGAACGGAGGCGCCCAAAGGUUCCCUCAGAAUGGUUGGAAAUCAUUCGCAGAGUGUAAAGGCACAAGGGAGCUUGACUGCGAGACCUACAAGUCGAGCAGGGACGAAAGUCGGGCUUAGUGAUCCGGUGGUUCCGCAUGGAAGGGCCAUCGCUCAACGGAUAAAAGCUACCCCGGGGAUAACAGGCUUAUCUCCCCCAAGAGUCCACAUCGACGGGGAGGUUUGGCACCUCGAUGUCGGCUCAUCGCAUCCUGGGGCUGUAGUCGGUCCCAAGGGUUGGGCUGUUCGCCCAUUAAAGCGGUACGCGAGCUGGGUUCAGAACGUCGUGAGACAGUUCGGUCCCUAUCCGGCGCGGGCGCAGGAAAUUUGAGAGGAGCUGUCCUUAGUACGAGAGGACCGGGAUGGACGCACCGCUGGUGUACCAGUUGUUCUGCCAAGGGCAUCGCUGGGUAGCUAUGUGCGGACGGGAUACGUGCUGAAAGCAUCUAAGCAUGAAGCCCCCCUCAAGAUGAGAUUUCCCAUUCCGCAAGGAAGUAAGAUCCCUGAAAGAUGAUCAGGUUGAUAGGUCUGAGGUGGAAGUGUGGCGACACAUGGAGCUGACAGAUACUAAUCGAUCGAGGACUUAACCAAUUU
Molecule: ribosomal RNA, 2934 nt
Filed under: Bacillus subtilis
Lineage: Bacteria; Bacillati; Bacillota; Bacilli; Caryophanales; Bacillaceae
Description: bacterial LSU rRNA
Rfam family: Bacterial large subunit ribosomal RNA
Source: RNAcentral